UGGGACUAAAGACCAGUGUAAUGUGCUUAUGAUAUCCAAUGGCAGUGAACGAAACUUGAGGUAGGAUGUAGUCAUACUGUGAUUUAGACAAUGUAGAAUCCAGGAGCACCACGUAAUUCUCUCCAUCUCGGAGCAGUGGAGGGAAAUGGAAGAAAAGGGAUUGGCCUAAGUUGACUGUAUGAAUUGGGUUGUCAAGAUUUUCACUUUUGUAGAGCUUCACACAUAAGGUGGACAGAUACUCAGAAGACGUAAUCACAUUUCCACUUAAAUCAAAUUGAUUAAUUUGCCGAAACGCUAUAAUAUUAACGUCAUCAAUGUCGCUGUUCCCAACCUCAAUUGCCCGGUGCUGUGGUAAAGCUCUUUCAAUAUGAUCAUUGCCUUCAGCUUUGAGUUGUACGUGAUACACACAACCUGGCAGAAGGCCACGCAGCCGGAACUUGCCCUCUUCAUCAGUUACUGUAUCUUCUCCAUAGAUGCUACACCCUUCCUGCCCCACAGCUUCUACUGAGACUCCUUGCUCAGGCUCUCCAUUUAAUGAAGAAACAGUGCCGUAACAGCUGUAAGCUGUUCUGUAACCAGUUAUCCGAAUUUUAAGAUUCUGUCCUUCCUGCACUUCAAUCAUUUGAGAAGACGGUUCAAAGCGAAAUUCUUUCAUCAUGGGUUUAAAAUAAUACUGCCCCGGACUCAGAUUGGAAAAGGUCAGCAUGCCAUUAUCCUGCGUAAGGAGGUUGGACCGGAACACCCCUCCACUGAGAGACAAGAGUACUCCAGCAAGAGCCUGGUCAUCCUCGGAUUUAAUCUCAAAUGUCACACCAGCAAGAGCAAAAGCUUUGAAGUCACCAAUCGUUCCUUCUACUGCAGUCAAAACAAAUCCUUCUUUCUGUGCAGUAACUGUAUAUUCCAAGUCACUGUGGAGUGGCCCAACACUGUAAGCACCUUUGUCAUCAGUGAAAACUGUGAUGAGAGGGGAAGGUGCUCCCUUUUCACCAAUGACAAUCUCAACACCUUCCAAUUCAGGAUGAAUCUGUCCUUCCAUAAAUAAGCCUGCUUUUCCAUGAAUCUCUAUCAGCUUUCCAGGACAGCUCUCUCCACUAACAACUGUUUCCACAUAAGGUGGGUAGAAAAGAAGCUCUUUUGAAGAUGGUGUCACAGUAAUUUUCUCACCAGACCUUGCCCAGUAUGAAAAUUCAUAUAAAAAUGGUCCUUGAAGUUCCUCCACCAUCUCCUGCACUGGUGGCUUUGUUCCCUCCUCUUCUUGGCCCUUCUUUUCUCUCUCCUGUCGGCGGGUCUCAAUUUCUGCCAGCUGCUGCUCCCUGCGUAACUCCUGCACAGAUUUCAAUGGCCCUAAAACUAAGGCAGGUUCACUGUCAAUAGAUGACUUAAUGGUAAUAGUCACAUCCAUCAGUUUAUCUGUUACAAUCGUGCCAAGGACAUGGUGUCGAACAGCAGUGAGCGUCAGUAUACUAGGAGAGGACGUGUCGUAAGUGUAAUACUCGUGUUCAAACUGGUGGCAGGAACGUGGGGUUACUUCGUACACACCUGGCUUUGAAAGACAGAAUCUAUUAACUCCUUUAGAUAAGUUAUAAACACCAACGUUCUCUGGUCCAUUUCCAUCCUGGUAAAAUUCCAGUGUAAUUGCAUGAGAAAGGGAACACCUCAGCAUAUAUCCAGUCUGCCUGAAUUCUACUCCUGAAACAUCUUCCUCCAUGAUUUCCACCUCCAGAGAUUUAUUCUUCCAGCACCAGUCUUCAUGUACAAUGCUUACUUUGUAUUUGCCAGGUAGCACAUUUUCAAACAUGAAGGCUACUGAGUCUGUGCUUCCAGAGAGCUGGAGGUUACGUUUUUCACCCUGGCGGCUCACAGACUGUAACAUCACCACCAGAUCACCGCAAGCAUCUAAACAAGAGAUCUUCC
This 1914-nucleotide long non-coding RNA is filed under the name Gallus gallus (chicken). Lineage: Eukaryota; Metazoa; Chordata; Aves; Galliformes; Phasianidae. The record is from RNAcentral.